This 422-nucleotide ribosomal RNA is filed under the name uncultured bacterium. RNAcentral's name for it is "partial 16S ribosomal RNA". It matches the Rfam family "Bacterial small subunit ribosomal RNA", at positions 359 to 773 of the family's 1533-position model. The record is from RNAcentral.
GAAUUUUGGACAAUGGGGGCAACCCUGAUCCAGCCAUCCCGCGUGUGCGAUGAAGGCCUUCGGGUUGUAAAGCACUUUUGGCAGGGAAGAAAAGGCUCUGGCUAAUACCUGGAGCUGCUGUCGGUACCUGCGCAAUAAGCACAGGCUAACAACGUUCCAGCAGCCGCGGUAACACGUAGGGUUCAAGCGUUAAUCGGAAUUACUGGGCGUAAAGCGUGCGCAGGCGGUUCGGCAAGAAGGAUGUGAAAGCCCAGGGCUUGACCUUGGAACUGCAUUCUUAACUGCCGGGCUAGAGUAUGUCAGAGGGGGGUAGAAUUCCGCGUGUAGCAGUGAAAUGCGUAGAGAUGCGGAGGAAUACCGAUGGCGAAGGCAGCCCCCUGGGAUAAUACUGACGCUCAUGCACGAAAGCGUGGGGAGCAAAC